AGGGCGAACGCUGGCGGCACGCCUAAUGCAUACAAGUCGAGCGAUCGGCCCCGGAGAGCUUGCUCUCUGGGGUACGGAGCGGCGCACGGGUGAGUAACACGUGAGCAACCUACCUCGAAGACUGGGACAACCCCGGGAAACUGGGGCUGAUACCGGACACCUUCAUCGGGGGGCAUCCCCUGAUGAAGAAAGGAUUCCGCUUCGAGAGGGGCUCGCGGCCUAUCAGCUUGUUGGUGGGUAACGGCCCACCAAGGCUUCGACGGGUA
Molecule: ribosomal RNA, 266 nt
Filed under: uncultured soil bacterium
Lineage: Bacteria
Description: partial 16S ribosomal RNA
Rfam family: Bacterial small subunit ribosomal RNA
Source: RNAcentral